CGGCGAUCCCCGUGUUGGGGUGGAUCUGUCUGAUGGGAACUAGGUGUGGUUUGCACCUCCCUUCUGCAGACAGGCAGGCCACACACACAAAUACCUCCACAAACCUGGGUGGAACCUACAGCGGUGAGUCUCCGGUAGCUCAGUUUUACUUGAACACACGACAACAGACGAGGCACCAUGUCUU
Molecule: long non-coding RNA, 184 nt
Organism: Lampris incognitus (smalleye Pacific opah)
Lineage: Eukaryota; Metazoa; Chordata; Actinopteri; Lampriformes; Lampridae
Exons: 3
Source: RefSeq, a predicted model, not a curated record